GACAGAGUCCUGUGGCCACCCUGACCUGCGAGGGAUGCUGGGAGGUGUCCUCGAGCUGAGUGUAUGGGAUAUUUGUCUGUCUAUAAUGGCAUGCCACAGUCGUCAAGACGAUGCUAAAAGUUACCCAGUGGAAGCUGUUGGAACGAACACCUCCAGCCAGAGAUCCUCCCUUCUAAGGUGGAGAUCAAACCCAGGGCCUCAGGCAUGGUUUCUACUGAAGGAAAAGUUAAAAUGGCCGAACUUGAGAACGGGAUGGAACCUUGAGGGCAGAGCCAUCUACUCCAGUGGUCCUCUUCUUGGCUGUGAGGUAAGAGGGAGAGCAAGGAUAAGUAAAUAACAGAAAACUGUAGGGCAAGAGUUGAGAAACCACACAAGCAAGGAUGACUAUGUCAAAACAUUGUGAAACCAACAGAAAAAGUGACCCUUUCCCUAUGAUCUCCAGGAAUGCACAAAACCAAAAAUACAUGACCCUGGACUGUGUCCAACAUCUUUCUGAUUGAAGAUUUUAUCUCUACAUCAGGGCCUUUGGACACCUUGAUACUUUCUCUAAAAACCUUGUGUGGUCAACAAAAACUCCCCUUCCCAAUGGGUGGGCUGAGUCAAGUACCCUGUUGGUCCAUGACAGCUGUCAAUCCCCAUGUGGAUCCUCCCAUAAUCCCAGGAAUUUAAGAAACCCAGUGCCUGCCCGUCCUGGGGCCUGAGCUCUUUGC
Non-coding RNA from Heterocephalus glaber (naked mole-rat), 710 nucleotides. NCBI's taxonomy places the organism in Eukaryota, Metazoa, Chordata, Mammalia, Rodentia, Bathyergidae. The record is from RefSeq and is a predicted model, not a curated record.